GCGCAUGCUCCCCAGCGCCCCGCACCAACAUGGCCGCCGCUCCCGGUGAGCGCAGCCGCCGCUGCGAGCCGGCCGUUGGUGCGCAUGCUCCCUGAGUGCCCCGCACCAACAUGGCGGCGUCUUCUUUGGGGUGACUUUAAUUCUCUGUUUUCGCUUAGAGUCGGCCGGCGCUCAUUUCUCUUCAGAAAGCUUGGAGCCCGUGGUGGAGCCGGGGAAGGGAAGGGUGGGUGCGGCCGUGAAAGGUGAGAGGGACAGAAAGCAUCCGGGCCGGCUCCCGGCGGGAGGAAGAUGGCUGAGAGCGAGCGGCAGCCGCCGCCAGAUUCUUCAGAGGAGGCCCCUCCAGCCACUCAGAACUUCAUCAUUCCAAAAAAGGAGAUCCACACAGUUCCUGACAUGGGCAAAUGGAAGCGUUCUCAGGCAUAUGCCGACUACAUCGGAUUCAUCCUCACUCUCAACGAAGGCGUGAAGGGGAAGAAGCUGACCUUCGAGUACAAAGUCUCUGAGGCCAUUGAGAAACUGGUCUCUCUUCUCAACACGUUGGACAGGUGGAUUGAUGAGACCCCUCCGGUGGACCAGCCCUCUCGAUUUGGGAACAAGGCCUAUAGGACUUGGUAUGCCAAACUUGAUGAGGAAGCAGAAAACUUGGUGGCCACAGUGGUCCCCACCCAUCUGGCAGCUGCUGUGCCUGAGGUGGCUGUUUACCUAAAGGAGUCCGUGGGGAACUCCACGCGAAUUGACUAUGGCACAGGGCAUGAGGCAGCCUUUGCUGCUUUCCUCUGCUGUCUCUGCAAGAUUGGGGUGCUCCGGGUGGACGACCAAAUAGCUAUUGUCUUCAAGGUGUUCAAUCGGUACCUCGAGGUUAUGCGAAAACUCCAGAAAACAUACAGGAUGGAGCCAGCGGGCAGCCAGGGUGUGUGGGGCCUGGAUGAUUUCCAGUUUCUGCCCUUCAUCUGGGGCAGUUCACAGCUGAUAGACCACCCAUACCUGGAGCCCAGGCACUUUGUGGAUGAGAAGGCCGUGAAUGAGAACCACAAGGACUACAUGUUCCUGGAGUGCAUCCUGUUCAUCACUGAGAUGAAGACGGGCCCGUUUGCAGAGCACUCCAACCAGCUAUGGAACAUCAGUGCUGUCCCCUCCUGGUCCAAAGUGAACCAGGGUCUCAUCCGCAUGUAUAAGGCUGAGUGCCUGGAGAAGUUCCCUGUGAUCCAGCACUUCAAGUUCGGGAGUCUGCUGCCCAUCCAUCCUGUCACGUCGGGCUAGGAGGGGCUGAGUAGCCAGAGCCACCCCGGCUGCAGUUCCUGUGCCUGCCCCCCCACUCCAGCACGAAUGUAAGCUCAGUGAGAGCAGGAAGCAAGUCUGUC
Molecule: RNA transcript, 1361 nt
Organism: Galeopterus variegatus (Sunda flying lemur)
Lineage: Eukaryota; Metazoa; Chordata; Mammalia; Dermoptera; Cynocephalidae
Gene: PTPA
Gene name: protein phosphatase 2A activator, regulatory subunit 4
Exons: 11
Source: RefSeq, a predicted model, not a curated record